Non-coding RNA from Maylandia zebra (zebra mbuna), 143 nucleotides. Lineage: Eukaryota; Metazoa; Chordata; Actinopteri; Cichliformes; Cichlidae. The record is from RefSeq and is a predicted model, not a curated record.
GACGCGGGGGAGAGGCGUUAGCGGAUGGAAGCAACAGUAUUUUGAUACCGCCGCGGGUAGAUGCGUGGGGCUCGUAUGUGACAUCGCACGUAGUGAAUGUGCAGGCUAGUGGUGCCCUGGAGAGACCACAGCGACACCACUAC